CGGUCGCUCGCUGAAGGAGAAGCAUUACGAGAGAGAGGGAGGUAAAAUAAUCUUUUAGAGGUUGCGUCUCGAUGCUGAUCAGGAGAUGCUUUAUCUCUCUCCCACAUUAUUGCGAGCCGGUUUUAACAUAUCCUUCGUUUCUCAUAGCUGUCAACUCUCAAUCUGUUUUCUCUGGACAGUAGAGGUGGCAAAUAUUUUUCACAAAUGAGUUGAAUGUGGGUUAUGAAGUUGUAAUGGGUCAUGACCCACAUUCCACUCAUUUUAAGUUCAAUUUUAUAUGAGUCGAAAAUGAGUCACACAUUCUGACCCAAUUCGACUCAUUUUUAAAAUCCAAAAAACAUGAACUUCGUCAGCCGCUAACCUUCGACCUUCACCCUCAACCUUCACCAUUGUCACCGCUGAACCAUUCUCGACCCACCUCUGCCGCUCGCCUCUGAACCGCCUCCGCCACUCGCUGCCGCAGCUCGCCUCCAAGUCGCCUCCGCCGCCCGCCUCUGAGGCUCGCCUCCACUGCUCCCUCGAAGGUCGACGAGCUUCGUCACCCACCUCCGCCGCUCGCCUCCGCAGCUCGCCCACGAAAUCGGAGGUGUCCGGGCCGACGCCCUGCGGUUCAGCCUCCAAGGCGUCAAGAGCGAGAUCGUCAGAUCUCGCCCUCUCGAAUCCACCUACCAAUCGGUCUGCAGAAAGAUUGAUGGUUGUCCAGAUGGGACUAGCGUUCUGGAACGUGUAUCUGAAGGUGUUGGUGUCUACUACAUGCACGGAGAUGGUUAUGCCCCUGUCCAGUAGUCCAGAUACAAGCAUGUUUCCUACGUAUGAUUUUAAUUUUUCUGCUUUCCAAGAGGAGUGUUGGACUGAUUUCAAAGUCAAUCCAAGACCAAGGUGGAUAACAACUGAAUUUGGUGGGAAAGUAAGACAUCACUGCGAUAUGUAUUUAUUUAUUUUAUAUUGAAGGUUUGCAGCAUGACAAACUUGCAUGUGUAGCUUCUUGGGUCAUAUUCCAUCCAGUUCUGUGUCCUUUUUAGCAUUUCUUAAGCAGCAUGGCAUUCCCAUCAA
This is a long non-coding RNA of Eucalyptus grandis, 1053 nucleotides long. RefSeq lists it as uncharacterized. The transcript has 2 exons. The record is from RefSeq and is a predicted model, not a curated record. NCBI's taxonomy places the organism in Eukaryota, Viridiplantae, Streptophyta, Magnoliopsida, Myrtales, Myrtaceae.